This 253-nucleotide ribosomal RNA is filed under the name uncultured bacterium. Its description in RNAcentral is "partial 16S ribosomal RNA". It matches the Rfam family "Bacterial small subunit ribosomal RNA", at positions 524 to 776 of the family's 1533-position model. The record is from RNAcentral.
GACAGAGGGGGCAAGCGUUGCUCGGAAUCACUGGGCGUAAAGGGCGCGUAGGCGGGAUGGCAAGUCGGUCGUGAAAUCCUUCGGCUCAACCGAAGAACGUCGGCCGAUACUGCCGUUCUUGAGGGAUGCAGAGGAGACUGGAAUUCCCGGUGUAGCGGUGAAAUGUGUAGAGAUCGGGAGGAACACCGGUGGCGAAGGCGGGUCUCUGGGCAUCUCCUGACGCUGAGGCGCGAAAGCGUGGGGAGCAAGCGGG